CAGUAGUCAUAUGCUUGUGUCAAAGAUUAAGCCAUGCAUGUCUAAGUAUAAGCAAGUCUAUACAGUGAAACUGCGAAUGGCUCAUUAUAUCAGUUAUAGUUUAUUUGACUGUACCCGCAUACCACUUGGAUACCCGUGGUAAUUCUAGAGCUAAUACAUGCGCGAAAGGCCCGACUGUUUCGGAAGGGCUGCAUUUAUUAGAUAUAAAACCAAACUCCUUUCGGGGAGAUUUCGGUGAAUCAUAAUAACUGAGCGAACCGUGUCCGUAUGGAGACGGUGGGUCAUUCAAAUUUCUGCCCUAUCAACUGUCGAUGGUACGGUAGUGGCCUACCAUGGUGACAACGGGUAACGGGGAAUCAGGGUUUGAUUCCGGAGAGGGAGCCUGAGAAACGGCUACCACUUCUAAGGAAGGCAGCAGGCGCGCAAAUUACCCAAUGCUAACACAGUGAGGUAGUGACAAUAAAUAACAACCCAGGGCCCUUUGGGUCUUGGGAUUGCAAUGAGUACAAUUUAAACACCUUAACGAGGAACAAUUGGAGGGCAAGUCUGGUGCCAGCAGCCGCGGUAAUUCCAGCUCCAAUAGUGUAUAUUAAAGUUGCUGCAGUUAAAAAGCUCGUAGUCGGAAUUUGGAUUGAGGGAUAUGGACCGCCUUCUUUUGAGGGUUGUGUCCACAAUAUGUCUCGUCCAGCCUUUCUAGGUGCUGCCGGCUGGCCAUUUAUUUGGCUGGUUGGACUAGUCCUAGACUUUUACCUUGAAAAAAUUAGAGUGUUCAAAGCAGGCAUUUUUGCCCGAAUAGAUUAGCAUGGAAUGAUGAAAUAUGACCGGAGUCUUGUUUUGUUGGUUUUACGGGGCUCCGGUAAUGAUUAAUAGGAACAGUUGGGGGCAUUUGAAUUGAGUGGUUAGAGGUGAAAUUCUUGGAUCCAUUCAAGUCAAACUACUGCGAAAGCAUUUGUCCAGCAUGUCUCCAUUGAUCAAGAACGAAAGUCAGGGGAUCGAAGACGAUUAGAUACCGUCGUAGUCUUGACCAUAAACUAUGCCGACUGGGGAUGGGGCCGACUAUUUAGAGCGGCUCUGGACCCUGGAGGAGAAAUCAAAGUUUUUGGGUUCCGGGGGGAGUAUGGUCGCAAGGCUGAAACUUAAAGGAAUUGACGGAAGGGCACCACCAGAAAUGGAGCCUGCGGCUUAAUUUGACUCAACACGGGGAAACUCACCAGGUCCAGACAUAGUGAGGAUUGACAGAUUGACAGCUCUUUCUUGAUUCUAUGGGUGGUGGUGCAUGGCCGUUCUUAGUUCGUGGAUUCAUUUGUCUGGUUAAUUCCGAUAACGAACGAGACCUUAACCUGCUAAAUAGACUGGCUAGUCUUUUGACUGGUGCAGCCUUCUUAGAGGGACUGCUGGUUUCAAGCCAGCGGAAGUUUUAGGCAAUAACAGGUCUGUGAUGCCCUUAGAUGUUCUGGGCCGCACGCGCGCUACACUGAUGAGGUCAGCGAGUUAGCCAUUUUUUGGCGUUCCUGGUCCGAUAGGAUCGGGUAAUCUUGUAAACCUCAUCGUGCUGGGGAUUGUCCUUUGCAACUUUCGGACAUGAACGAGGAAUUUCUAGUAAUCGCAAGUCAUCAGCUUGCGAUGAUUACGUCCCUGCCCUUUGUACACACCGCCCGUCGCUACUACCGAUUGAAUGGCUUAGUGAGUCCUCCGGAUUUGGCCAGCACGCCCUCACCGGCUGCCGGCUAGAGAAGCUGGGCAAACUUGGUCAUUUAGAGGAAGUAAAAGUCGUAACAAGGUCAUCGUAGGUGAACCUGCGGUGGGAUCAUCAAUAAUCUAACAAACAACCACUUAAGGUGUGAAUUUGUGCUUGAUUUUUAAGACGAGUGCGUUUCCUUUGGGGGGCGCCUUUUCUGAUAAAUUUCUAUCUGCUUGGUCAGUUUUGGCCAGGCAGAUGGGGAUAAAACCUGCACUUUACAGUGUAUUUUAUGGCCAACNUUUAAAUUCCUCAAUAGGACUGAAGCCCAUUUUUAUGAGCAUCGGACCUCUGGAAAAAUCUGUAAUUCUCUAUCUAGCUGUAAUGGCAAGAUAAAUAAUUCAUACAAAACUAUUAAUGGUGGAUCACUUGGCUCUCGCAUCGAUGAAGAACGCAGCGAAUUGCGAAAAUUGUCGUGACUUGCAUCAUCGUGAAUCAUCGAGUUUUCGAACGCACAUUGCACUUUACACUUGUGUAAAGUAUGUCUGUUUGAGCAUCAUUAUAUACCCCCACCCUCAAGCUUUUUUCGAAAGGUUUUGANGGGGAUUGAUGAGCGUUUCUGGCUGUAUUUUAUACAGACAGUCGCUUGAAAUGCAGAGGUUGUUUUGGCUUUUAUAGUCAUUACAGAAAUAACCACUACAUUCAACAGAAUUCAACAACAAUUCUGCCUUAGGGAGUGUACAAUUCUUGGGUUUUAUCAAAACACUAGUUGUCCGCGUUUGACCUUUGGCUAGAGCCCGUCGUCUUCUGGUAGUAACCAUUUCAGUUAUACCUCUGGGUCUUUUUUCACAAAGCCCGCUUGCAUAACCCCUUUUAUUUUGAUCUCAAAUCAGGCAAGACUACCCGCUGAAUUUAAGCAUAUCAAUAAGCGGAGGAAAAGAAACUAACAAGGAUUCCCCUAGUAACGGCGAGUGAAGCGGGAACAGCUCAAGGCAGGAAUCCCUUUGGGGAGUUGUGGCCUAUGGAACGUAGUUGCUGUAAGCCGGUCUGCGGAUCAAGUCCCUUGGAAUAGGGCGCCAGAGAGGGUGAUAGCCCCGUCCACUGCAGGCUUGAACGGUUUCGUUAUGCACUAUGCUCCGCGAGUCGGGUUGUUUGGGAAUGCAGCCCUAAUCGGGAGGUACGCACCUUCCAAGGCUAAAUAUUCAGGCGAGAGACCGAUAGCGAACAAGUACCGUGAGGGAAAGUUGAAAAGUACUCUGGAGAGAGAGUGAAAAGCGCGUGAAACCAUUAGUAGGGAACCGCUUGCACGGUGCACCGAGUGGCGUUGGCUUCGGCCGGCGUCACCGCUCAACACCAGUUUGGCUUGCUGGAAAAAGGGGGGAGCAAGGUAGCAACGCUUCGGGGUUGUGUUAUAGGCUCCCUUCAUAUACAGUGGGCUGGACUGAGGACGGCGACAUCUCUUCCUCGGAGGGGCGCUUGUGCGGACUGGCCAUUGGGCUGGACUGUGCGGACAGCAUGCUGGCCGUACGGGACCAUGUCUGA
RNAcentral lists this ribosomal RNA (3220 nucleotides) under Linderina macrospora. Its description in RNAcentral is "eukaryotic LSU rRNA". The stretch from base 1 to 1813 matches the Rfam family "Eukaryotic small subunit ribosomal RNA". The record is from RNAcentral. Lineage: Eukaryota; Fungi; Kickxellomycota; Kickxellomycetes; Kickxellales; Kickxellaceae.